GUCCAGGGGCGGGAAUCAAACCCACACGUUCUGCUUACCGGGCAGGUGCCAUGUCCACUAGGCUACCCUGGA
Molecule: non-coding RNA, 72 nt
Organism: Cordylochernes scorpioides
Lineage: Eukaryota; Metazoa; Arthropoda; Arachnida; Pseudoscorpiones; Chernetidae
Source: the annotation of a GenBank genome assembly